UACGUAGGGUGCGAGCGUUGUCCGGAAUUAUUGGGCGUAAAGGGCUCGUAGGCGGUCUGUUGCGUCGGGAGUGAAAACUCAGGGCCUAACCCUGAGCCUGCUUCCGAUACGGGCAGACUAGAGGUAUGCAGGGGAGAACGGAAUUCUUGGUGUAGCGGUGAAAUGCGUAGAUAUCAAGAGGAACACCUGAGGUGAAGACGGGUUGCUGGGCCGACACUGACGCUGACAGCGCGAAAGCCAGGGGAGCAAACGGG
Molecule: ribosomal RNA, 254 nt
Filed under: uncultured bacterium
Lineage: Bacteria
Description: partial 16S ribosomal RNA
Rfam family: Bacterial small subunit ribosomal RNA
Source: RNAcentral